Molecule: long non-coding RNA, 217 nt
Organism: Bufo gargarizans (Asiatic toad)
Lineage: Eukaryota; Metazoa; Chordata; Amphibia; Anura; Bufonidae
Exons: 3
Source: RefSeq, a predicted model, not a curated record
CACAGUCACCUCCUGUGGUAACAAGCUCUCCUCUGGAACCAUCAUGGUAGCUCAAAAGUCCCUAACCAAGUCAGCACUUUGGUCUCUUGCCAUUUUUGCAAUCCUGAGUUUGCAGAACGCAGAUGCAGAUCCAUAUAAUCAGAAUUGUACCGAUAAUUAUAAAAAUAAUGAUGUACCAGGAUGGGGCAUUGCAAUGCUUGUAUUGGUGUCACUGCUU